Molecule: ribosomal RNA, 381 nt
Filed under: uncultured bacterium
Lineage: Bacteria
Description: bacterial SSU rRNA
Rfam family: Bacterial small subunit ribosomal RNA
Source: RNAcentral
AUUGAACGCUGGCGACAUGCCUUACACAUGCAAGUCGAACGGCAGCACGGGAGCAAUCCUGGUGGCGAGUGGCGAACGGGUGAGUAAUAUAUCGGAACGUGCCCAGUCGUGGGGAUAACGUAGCGAAAGCUACGCUAAUACCGCAUACGAUCUAUGGAUGAAAGCGGGGGAUCGCAAGACCUCGCGCGAUUGGAGCGGCCGAUAUCAGAUUAGGUAGUUGGUGAGGUAAAGGCUCACCAAGCCGACGAUCUGUAGCUGGUCUGAGAGGACGACCAGCCACACUGGGACUGAGACACGGCCCAGACUCCUACGGGAGGCAGCAGUGGGGAAUUUUGGACAAUGGGCGCAAGCCUGAUCCAGCAAUGCCGCGUGCAGGAUGAA